Molecule: ribosomal RNA, 484 nt
Filed under: uncultured bacterium
Lineage: Bacteria
Description: partial 16S ribosomal RNA
Rfam family: Bacterial small subunit ribosomal RNA
Source: RNAcentral
AUUGAACGCUGGCGGCAUGCUUUACACAUGCAAGUCGAACGGCAGCGCGGGCUUCGGCCUGGCGGCGAGUGGCGAACGGGUGAGUAAUGCAUCGGAACGUGCCCAGUAGUGGUGGAUAGCCCGGCGAAAGCCGGAUUCAUACCGCAUACGACCUGAGGGUGAAAGCGGGGGGCCGAAAGGCCUCGCGCCAUUGGAGCGGCCGGUGGUGGAUUAGCUAGCUGGUGGGGUAAAGGCUUACCAAGGCGACGAUCCGUAGCUGGACUGAGAGGACGACCGGCCAAACUGGGACUGAGACACGGCCCAGACUCCUACGGGAGGCAGCAGUAGGGAAUCUGACGAAAUGGACGAAAGUCUGACGGAGCAAUGCCGCGUGAGUGAAGAAGGUUUUCGGAUCGUAAAACUCUGUUGUAAGGGAAGAACAAGUACGUGAGUAACUGAACGUACCUUGGCGGUACCUUACCAGAAAGCAACGGCUAACUACGUG